Molecule: ribosomal RNA, 358 nt
Filed under: uncultured bacterium
Lineage: Bacteria
Description: bacterial SSU rRNA
Rfam family: Bacterial small subunit ribosomal RNA
Source: RNAcentral
AGAGUUUGAUCCUGGCUCAGGAUGAACGCUAGCUACAGGCUUAACACAUGCAAGUCGAGGGGCAUCAGUUUGGUUUGCUUGCAACCAAAGCUGGCGACCGGCGCACGGGUGAGUAACACGUAUCCAACCUGCCUCAUACUCGGGGAUAGCCUUUCGAAAGAAACGAUUAAUAUCCGAUAGCAUAUAUUUCCCGCAUGGGUUUUAUAUUAAAGAAAUUCGGUAUGAGAGUGGGGAUGCGUUCCAUUUAGUUUGUUGGCGGGGUAACGGGCCCACCAAGACUACGAUGGAUAGGGGUUCUGAGAGGAAGGUCCCCCACAUUGGAACUGAGACACGGUCCAAACUCCUACGGGAGGCAGCA